This 73-nucleotide transfer RNA is filed under the name Thermoleophilaceae bacterium. Its description in RNAcentral is "tRNA-Ala". It matches the Rfam family "tRNA". From Rfam's summary of the family: Transfer RNA (tRNA) molecules are approximately 80 nucleotides in length. The record is from RNAcentral. Lineage: Bacteria; Bacillati; Actinomycetota; Thermoleophilia; Thermoleophilales; Thermoleophilaceae.
GGGGCUAUAGCUCAGUUGGUAGAGCGUCCGGUUCGCAAUCGGAAGGUCGUCGGUUCAAAUCCGACUAGCUCCA